CUGAACCGCAUGGUUCAGACAUAAAAGGUGGCUUCGGCUACCACUUACAGAUGGACCCGCGGCGCAUUAGCUAGUUGGUGAGGUAACGGCUCACCAAGGCGACGAUGCGUAGCCGACCUGAGAGGGUGAUCGGCCACACUGGGACUGAGACACGGCCCAGACUCCUACGGGAGGCAGCAGUAGGGAAUCUUCCGCAAUGGACGAAAGUCUGACGGAGCAACGCCGCGUGAGUGAUGAAGGUUUUCGGAUCGUAAAGCUCUGUUGUUAGGGAAGAACAAGUGCCGUUCAAAUAGGGCGGCACCUUGACGGUACCUAACCAGAAAGCCACGGCUAACUACGUGCCAGCAGCCGCGGUAAUACGUAGGUGGCAAGCGUUGUCCGGAAUUAUUGGGCGUAAAGGGCUCGCAGGCGGUUUCUUAAGUCUGAUGUGAAAGCCCCCGGCUCAACCGGGGAGGGUCAUUGGAAACUGGGGAACUUGAGUGCAGAAGAGGAGAGUGGAAUUCCACGUGUAGCGGUGAAAUGCGUAGAGAUGUGGAGGAACACCAGUGGCGAAGGCGACUCUCUGGUCUGUAACUGACGCUGAGGAGCGAAAGCGUGGGGAGCGAACAGGAUUAGAUACCCUGGUAGUCCACGCCGUAAACGAUGAGUGCUAAGUGUUAGGGGGUUUCCGCCCCUUAGUGCUGCAGCUAACGCAUUAAGCACUCCCCCCUGGGGAGUACGGUCGCAAGACUGAAACUCAAA
RNAcentral lists this ribosomal RNA (741 nucleotides) under Bacillus sp. 12HD15. RNAcentral's name for it is "bacterial SSU rRNA". It matches the Rfam family "Bacterial small subunit ribosomal RNA", at positions 181 to 905 of the family's 1533-position model. Lineage: Bacteria; Bacillati; Bacillota; Bacilli; Caryophanales; Bacillaceae. The record is from RNAcentral.